RNAcentral lists this non-coding RNA (263 nucleotides) under Clostridium saccharoperbutylacetonicum. RNAcentral's name for it is "T-box sequence". It matches the Rfam family "T-box leader". Rfam says of the family: Uncharged tRNA acts as the effector for transcription antitermination of genes in the T-box leader family. Lineage: Bacteria; Bacillati; Bacillota; Clostridia; Eubacteriales; Clostridiaceae. The record is from RNAcentral.
ACAAAUGCAAUGAAGAGGAAAGUAACUUUAAGAAUACUUAUACAGAGAGUUUCCAUUGGUGAGAGGAAGCAAAGAAUAUUAAAGUGAAAAUGGCCUUGGAGCGGUGUACCGAGAUUUUUAUUAUAAAAAUUAAGGCUGCAACGGAUUCACCCGUUAUAGUGAUAGAGUAUAAUCAUAUGAUAUAUGACGUACUUGAUGAGGUGCAUAUUGUAAGGUAUGCAUGAAAUAGGAUGGUAACACGAAGUUUAGCUCUCGUUCCUAAG